AUAAUGAUACUUCCGUCCAGUCACAGCCCCCUGAAGGGGAUCACGCAAUGAGGGCGGCUCCGGGAGAACCUCGGAGGGGUGAGAAUCCCAUGA
This 93-nucleotide non-coding RNA is filed under the name unclassified sequences. RNAcentral describes it as "pemK RNA". It matches the Rfam family "pemK RNA". The record is from RNAcentral.